GGAGAGGUGGCCGAGCGGCUUAAGGCGGCGGUCUUGAAAACCGCUGAAGGGUAAUACUCUUCCGUGGGUUCGAAUCCCACCCUCUCCGCCA
This 91-nucleotide transfer RNA is filed under the name Gammaproteobacteria bacterium. RNAcentral's name for it is "tRNA-Ser". It matches the Rfam family "tRNA". From Rfam's summary of the family: Transfer RNA (tRNA) molecules are approximately 80 nucleotides in length. RNAcentral also lists the same sequence under 1 other name. Lineage: Bacteria; Pseudomonadati; Pseudomonadota; Gammaproteobacteria. The record is from RNAcentral.